GAUAAACGCUGGCGGCGUGCCUAAUACAUGCAAGUCGAGCGAACGGACGAGAAGCUUGCUUCUCUGAUGUUAGCGGCGGACGGGUGAGUAACACGUGGAUAACCUACCUAUAAGACUGGGAUAACUUCGGGAAACCGGAGCUAAUACCGGAUAAUAUUUUGAACCGCAUGGUUCAAAAGUGAAAGACGGUCUUGCUGUCACUUAUAGAUGGAUCCGCGCUGCAUUAGCUAGUUGGUAAGGUAACGGCCUACCAAGGCAACGAUGCAUAGCCGACCUGAGAGGGUGAUCGGCCACACUGGAACUGAGACACGGUCCAGACUCCUACGGGAGGCAGCAGUAGGGAACCUUCCGCAAUGGGCGAAAGCCUGACGGAGCAACGCCGCGUGAGUGAUGAAGGUCUUCGGAUCGUAAAACUCUGUUAUUAGGGAAGAACAUAUGUGUAAGUAACUGUGCACAUCUUGACGGUACCUAAUCAGAAAGCCACGGCUAACUACGUGCCAGCAGCCGCGGUAAUACGUAGGUGGCAAGCGUUAUCCGGAAUUAUUGGGCGUAAAGCGCGCGUAGGCGGUUUUUUAAGUCUGAUGUGAAAGCCCACGGCUCAACCGUGGAGGGUCAUUGGAAACUGGAAAACUUGAGUGCAGAAGAGGAAAGUGGAAUUCCAUGUGUAGCGGUGAAAUGCGCAGAGAUAUGGAGGAACACCAGUGGCGAAGGCGACUUUCUGGUCUGUAACUGACGCUGAUGUGCGAAAGCGUGGGGAUCAAACAGGAUUAGAUACCCUGGUAGUCCACGCCGUAAACGAUGAGUGCUAAGUGUUAGGGGGUUUCCGCCCCUUAGUGCUGCAGCUAACGCAUUAAGCACUCCGCCUGGGGAGUACGACCGCAAGGUUGAAACUCAAAGGAAUUGACGGGGACCCGCACAAGCGGUGGAGCAUGUGGUUUAAUUCGAAGCAACGCGAAGAACCUUACCAAAUCUUGACAUCCUUUGACAACUCUAGAGAUAGAGCCUUCCCCUUCGGGGGACAAAGUGACAGGUGGUGCAUGGUUGUCGUCAGCUCGUGUCGUGAGAUGUUGGGUUAAGUCCCGCAACGAGCGCAACCCUUAAGCUUAGUUGCCAUCAUUAAGUUGGGCACUCUAAGUUGACUGCCGGUGACAAACCGGAGGAAGGUGGGGAUGACGUCAAAUCAUCAUGCCCCUUAUGAUUUGGGCUACACACGUGCUACAAUGGACAAUACAAAGGGCAGCGAAACCGCGAGGUCAAGCAAAUCCCAUAAAGUUGUUCUCAGUUCGGAUUGUAGUCUGCAACUCGACUACAUGAAGCUGGAAUCGCUAGUAAUCGUAGAUCAGCAUGCUACGGUGAAUACGUUCCCGGGUCU
This 1372-nucleotide ribosomal RNA is filed under the name uncultured bacterium. RNAcentral's name for it is "bacterial SSU rRNA". It matches the Rfam family "Bacterial small subunit ribosomal RNA", at positions 28 to 1381 of the family's 1533-position model. The record is from RNAcentral.